Molecule: ribosomal RNA, 1522 nt
Filed under: Klebsiella variicola
Lineage: Bacteria; Pseudomonadati; Pseudomonadota; Gammaproteobacteria; Enterobacterales; Enterobacteriaceae
Description: bacterial SSU rRNA
Rfam family: Bacterial small subunit ribosomal RNA
Source: RNAcentral
CCAGAGUUUGAUCAUGGCUCAGAUUGAACGCUGGCGGCAGGCCUAACACAUGCAAGUCGAGCGGUAGCACAGAGAGCUUGCUCUCGGGUGACGAGCGGCGGACGGGUGAGUAAUGUCUGGGAAACUGCCUGAUGGAGGGGGAUAACUACUGGAAACGGUAGCUAAUACCGCAUAACGUCGCAAGACCAAAGUGGGGGACCUUCGGGCCUCAUGCCAUCAGAUGUGCCCAGAUGGGAUUAGCUGGUAGGUGGGGUAACGGCUCACCUAGGCGACGAUCCCUAGCUGGUCUGAGAGGAUGACCAGCCACACUGGAACUGAGACACGGUCCAGACUCCUACGGGAGGCAGCAGUGGGGAAUAUUGCACAAUGGGCGCAAGCCUGAUGCAGCCAUGCCGCGUGUGUGAAGAAGGCCUUCGGGUUGUAAAGCACUUUCAGCGGGGAGGAAGGCGGUGAGGUUAAUAACCUCAUCGAUUGACGUUACCCGCAGAAGAAGCACCGGCUAACUCCGUGCCAGCAGCCGCGGUAAUACGGAGGGUGCAAGCGUUAAUCGGAAUUACUGGGCGUAAAGCGCACGCAGGCGGUCUGUCAAGUCGGAUGUGAAAUCCCCGGGCUCAACCUGGGAACUGCAUUCGAAACUGGCAGGCUAGAGUCUUGUAGAGGGGGGUAGAAUUCCAGGUGUAGCGGUGAAAUGCGUAGAGAUCUGGAGGAAUACCGGUGGCGAAGGCGGCCCCCUGGACAAAGACUGACGCUCAGGUGCGAAAGCGUGGGGAGCAAACAGGAUUAGAUACCCUGGUAGUCCACGCUGUAAACGAUGUCGAUUUGGAGGUUGUGCCCUUGAGGCGUGGCUUCCGGAGCUAACGCGUUAAAUCGACCGCCUGGGGAGUACGGCCGCAAGGUUAAAACUCAAAUGAAUUGACGGGGGCCCGCACAAGCGGUGGAGCAUGUGGUUUAAUUCGAUGCAACGCGAAGAACCUUACCUGGUCUUGACAUCCACAGAACUUUCCAGAGAUGGUUUGGUGCCUUCGGGAACUGUGAGACAGGUGCUGCAUGGCUGUCGUCAGCUCGUGUUGUGAAAUGUUGGGUUAAGUCCCGCAACGAGCGCAACCCUUAUCCUUUGUUGCCAGCGGUUAGGCCGGGAACUCAAAGGAGACUGCCAGUGAUAAACUGGAGGAAGGUGGGGAUGACGUCAAGUCAUCAUGGCCCUUACGACCAGGGCUACACACGUGCUACAAUGGCAUAUACAAAGAGAAGCGACCUCGCGAGAGCAAGCGGACCUCAUAAAGUAUGUCGUAGUCCGGAUUGGAGUCUGCAACUCGACUCCAUGAAGUCGGAAUCGCUAGUAAUCGUAGAUCAGAAUGCUACGGUGAAUACGUUCCCGGGCCUUGUACACACCGCCCGUCACACCAUGGGAGUGGGUUGCAAAAGAAGUAGGUAGCUUAACCUUCGGGAGGGCGCUUACCACUUUGUGAUUCAUGACUGGGGUGAAGUCGUAACAAGGUAACCGUAGGGGAACCUGCGGCUG